ACCCUCCUUCAGUCCAUCUCCUUCACGCCUCUCAGUACUUGAAUCACAGAAGUUCCAUUCUUCCUCCCCUCCAAUCUCUCUCUCUCAAUUUGUCGAAUAUCCAAUUUUCUUCUCUACUUAACACAGUCAUCUUUGUCAAUUCGAUCAGCCCAAAUUUGAGUAUAUGAUAAACACUUUUAUCUGUAUGUAUUUGGGUCUUUGAUCCAUUGCAAGUUUGGACAUUGCAGCUAAAGCGAAAUAGGGUUUUUCAUAAUCCUUUCUGGAUACUGAGGAAAUCCGGAAAAGAUUCAAUCUUCCUGGAAAAAAAUUGUUAGUUUUGCAGCUUUGUUGUGAUUGGAACUAAUUUGAGGUUCUGAGGUUUAGGUUUAGUGUCUUUGGAUUUUACUUUUCCUCCGUUUUCUCGGAAAGCAAACAGGGGAUUUGGGAUAAUGCUGGGAGCAGGAUUGCAGCUUGGGCGUGCUCGCGGAGAAGAUCGAUUUUAUAUACCUGUGAAAGCGCGGAAGAAUCAAAGCCACCAGAAGCAACAAAAGCAGCUGGAAGAGAGCCAAGGUAACCGCAGAGCUAGGAGUGAUAAGAGGGAAAGCUUAUCUUUGAAGAGCAAGGUUUCUGAGGAUUCUGUGCCCCCAUCGGUGGUCUCUCGUAGCAACCUUGAUAGGUUCCUUGAAUCCACCAUACCUACCGUCCCGGCUCAAUAUUUCUCUAAGACGACGAUGAGGGGAUGGAGGACUUGUGAUGUGGAGUUUCAAGCUUAUUUCACACUGGCAGAUUUGUGGGAGUCCUUUAAGGAAUGGAGUGCAUAUGGGGCAGGAGUGCCUUUGGUACUUGAUGGAAGUGAUUCUGUCAUUCAAUAUUAUGUCCCGUACUUAUCUGGUAUCCAGUUAUAUGGUGAAUCUUCCGUGAGAUCAAAUAUCAAGUCAAGGCACACUGGAGAGGACAGCGAUGGAGACUAUUAUCGAGAUUCGAGUAGCGAUGUUAGUAGUGAAAAUGAAUUUGAGAAAGCCUUAAAAUACACGAGGGAGCAGCAAGGUCAUUACUUUUUAACAAGUAAGAUUUCUUCCAAAAUGGACGGUGUGUCUUUAAGUGAUGAGAAUAGUACCAUACAAGAGGACUUUUCAAGUGAUGAUGGUGAAUCUGGAAAUUCUCGAGGUUGCCUGCUGUUUGAGUUUCUUGAGCAGGGUACUCCAUACAGCCGUGAACCAUUAGCGAACAAGAUUUCUGAUCUUGCUUGCUGCUUUCCUGGUCUGAAGACAUUAAGAAGUUGUGAUUUACUGCCGACCAGUUGGAUAUCCGUGGCAUGGUAUCCUAUUUACCGAAUACCCACAGGUCCCACCUUGAAGGAUUUGGAUGCCUGUUUUCUAACUUACCAUUCCCUUUCCUCACCCUUGGGAGGCAAUGGAAAUUCCCAGGGUCCAGUAGUGGUCUAUCCUAGUGAGAUGGACGGCGUCCCAAAGAUAAACCUACCUUCUUUUGGAAUGGCUUCUUAUAAAUUCGAAGGAUCAAUGUGGAAAGAAAAUGGAGCAAAUGAACUUCCUCUCGUCAAUUCCCUCUUACUGGCAGCUGAAAACUGGCUGAGACUGCUUCAAGUCAAUCACCCAGAUUUCCAGUUCUUUGCUUCAAAUGGGUAUCACAGGUGAAUGUAAUAAGAAAGAGAUUACUCAACAUUAUAGAUCAGCGCUUCAAUUUUUUUAAAAAAAAGGCCAAAAGAACCGUGCUUCUUCAUUGUUCAGUUUAGGCUUAAAGCCUUUUCAAGUUGCAGGCAUAUCAGAAUGUGCUGACUGAGGGUGGUGUUUCUAGACUGAAUGAAAAGAGAAAAUUAGAAGUAAUAGAAGAUCUGGAAGGAUCAACAACGGUUUAGAAAAGAAGAGAGGAGGAGAAACAAAAUCUACAUCCCUACACAUAACCAAGAGGCCCAAGAUUGGAAGAAGAAAGUAAAUAAGAAGAGCGCGGGAAUGUAUUACAGUUUAGCUACAGAAAAUUGAAAGACACAUCUAAAAGGGCCAUUUGGUUUUGUUUUAAUGUGAUACUUAUGUUUUGAGAACAAUAUAUGUAGUUGUGUUUGUGGAUUUAAGCAAUCCAUGUUAACGAGGCGAAUUUCGGCCUGUCCUUUCUGUAGUUGACAGUCGUGUGUUGAUUUUACCUCAUAAAUGAAAAUGGAACAUAUAUGUUAUUGGAUGUUUAUAUGUUAUUGCAAUGCAGUUUGUGUUUGCCUAAUAGAGAGUGGAAGGCACCUACAAUGUUUGCUUUUAUUCAUGAACUUUUGUGCUCCACUCUCUAAUGAUGGUAAAGCAGUGUGGAUUGAUUUUCUUUAGGAUUUUGAGAGACUAGUCUUGAUUGAGCAAGCUCAACCGUGAUUAAGCUCGACUUCAGUUGAAUGAAGUUUGAAGUUCUGACAUGAGUUUGCCCUUUAAUCUCCGAGGAGAAUGUGCUUGAGCUGGAAGCAAAUGAAGGAUCUGGAUACCAAAUAGAAGAGGAAGAAAACACAAAGAACACAGAAGACCCUCAAAUUUCUUGGCAAACAACUUUUUCCAUCAUACAGAGGACACAUUUUUAUUUGUCAUUCAAGGGAGACCCUGCGGAUCAAAUAUACAUGGAGGUCGAGCUAAGGCGCUUGACUUGGUUGGAGCAGCAUUUGGCAGAGCUUGGGAAAAGCUUUUAGGAUUUUGUGAAGGUGGGAAUAUGUCAAAAGGAGAUGUUUGAGCUCCAUUUUGCAGUUCCAACUGACAAGAGGCCGCAAAUUAUGGGUUGGAACCCGAUUUCAAAUCUUCUCAACCUGUGAGAAACCUCAUUUUGUUUAUAACUACUUUCCAUUCUGAAUCCAGAUAGCUAAGAUUUGACUAGGGUUUUGGUUUAAAACUUCAA
Molecule: RNA transcript, 2859 nt
Organism: Tripterygium wilfordii
Lineage: Eukaryota; Viridiplantae; Streptophyta; Magnoliopsida; Celastrales; Celastraceae
Exons: 7
Source: RefSeq, a predicted model, not a curated record